AAUGAUAAUAUCUAGGUAGUAAUAAAAAUAAAACCAAUAAAGCUUGGCAGUUAUACUUAUCUAGAGAAACUUGUUUUAUAAUCGAUAAAACUCGAUAAAUUUAACUUAAUCAAUAAAACUUAUAUACCGCCGUUUCAGAAAUAACUAAAACAAAAUUUCCCAUUAAAAAAAUUUAAAAAAAUCAGGUCAAGGUAUAGUCAAUGUCUAAGUAAAAAUUAGUUACAAAUAAAUAUAAAUUUAAGAACAUCUAUUUAAAUAACACCUAGAAAAAGAAUCUAUAAUCAAUUAUAAAUCAAAAAUUAAUAAUGAAACACACCAUUAUAAUGC
RNAcentral lists this ribosomal RNA (327 nucleotides) under Mesabolivar sp. DNA100446398. RNAcentral describes it as "partial 12S ribosomal RNA". Lineage: Eukaryota; Metazoa; Arthropoda; Arachnida; Araneae; Pholcidae. The record is from RNAcentral.